Molecule: ribosomal RNA, 237 nt
Filed under: uncultured bacterium
Lineage: Bacteria
Description: partial 16S ribosomal RNA
Rfam family: Bacterial small subunit ribosomal RNA
Source: RNAcentral
GAUCCUGGCUCAGGACGAACGCCGGCGGCGUGCUUAACACAUGCAAGUCGAACGAGAAUCUACUGAAAGAGUCUUCGGACAAUGGAUGUAGAGGAAAGUGGCGGACGGGUGAGUAACGCGUGAGGAACCUGCCUUGAAGAGGGGGACAACAGUUGGAAACGACUGCUAAUACCGCAUGACGCAUAGAGGUCGCAUGAUCUUUAUGCCAAAGAUUUAUCGCUUCAAGAUGGCCUCGCG